AGGAGAGCUGUUGCGCCGGACUUGAGGGGCAACGUGGCCUCCGCCAGAGUGGUGUGUCGGUUGACCGGUAGGCGGCGCGUGCAUGCAACGAGAACGCCGAUGGAGACGCUUUCCUGCGGGUUGUUUCUGCCUGUUGAGCCGGCCACAGCCUGACGGCCUCGGCAGCAGCCAUCCAGGAAACUCGCAUUGAUUCCCGCGCUAGGUGACGAUGGGGCGCGACGCUACCCAUGAGAAGCGAGCACUCGAACAGUUCAAAGAAGCUAUACGGGACAUUUGGCGGGACCAGUUCACCGACCCUUACCUACUGCGAUGGCUCAUAGCAAGAGACUUCGAUGUGACCAAGGCGCAAGACCUUCUGCGCAAAAAUCUGCGAUGGAGGGCGGAGAACGACGUAGACACCCUGGUGGAUCGUUACGAGUGUCAUCCGGUGA
Long non-coding RNA from Rhipicephalus microplus (southern cattle tick), 431 nucleotides. The record is from RefSeq and is a predicted model, not a curated record. NCBI's taxonomy places the organism in Eukaryota, Metazoa, Arthropoda, Arachnida, Ixodida, Ixodidae.